Molecule: ribosomal RNA, 465 nt
Filed under: uncultured bacterium
Lineage: Bacteria
Description: partial 16S ribosomal RNA
Rfam family: Bacterial small subunit ribosomal RNA
Source: RNAcentral
CUACGGGUGGCUGCAGUGGGGAAUAUUGGACAAUGGGGGAAACCCUGAUCCAGCAAUGCCGCGUGUGUGAAGAAGGCCUGCGGGUUGUAAAGCACUUUCGGUUGGGAGGACUGCUUCUAGCACUAAUAUUGUUGGAAGUUGACGUUACCUUCAGAAGAAGCACCGGCUAACUCCGUGCCAGCAGCCGCAGUAAUACGGAGGGUGCAAGCGUUAAUCGGAAUUACUGGGCGUAAAGCGCGCGUAGGCGGCUAGAUCAGUCGGGUGUGAAAGCCCCGGGCUUAACCUGGGAACUGCAUCCGAUACUGUCUAGCUUGAGUACAGGAGAGGAGAGUAGAAUUCCACAUGUAGCGGUGAAAUGCGUAGAUAUGUGGAGGAACACCAAUGGCGAAGGCAGCUCUCUGGCCUGAUACUGACGCUGAGGUGCGAAAGCGUGGGGAGCAAACAGGAUUAGAUACCCUUGUAGUC